UACGGAGGGGGCUAGCGUUGUUCGGAAUUACUGGGCGUAAAGCGCACGUAGGCGGCUUUGUAAGUUAGAGGUGAAAGCCCGGGGCUCAACUCCGGAAUUGCCUUUAAGACUGCAUCGCUAGAAUUGUGGAGAGGUAAGUGGAAUUCCGAGUGUAGAGGUGAAAUUCGUAGAUAUUCGGAAGAACACCAGUGGCGAAGGCGGCGACCUGGACGGACACUGACGCUGAGACGCGAAAGCGUGGGGAGCAAACAGG
This 253-nucleotide ribosomal RNA is filed under the name uncultured bacterium. RNAcentral describes it as "partial 16S ribosomal RNA". It matches the Rfam family "Bacterial small subunit ribosomal RNA", at positions 524 to 776 of the family's 1533-position model. The record is from RNAcentral.